AUGCACGCUGGCGGCGUGCCUCAUACAUGCAAGUCGAGCGAACAGACGAGGAGCUUGCUCCUCUGACGUUAGCGGCGGACGGGUGAGUAACACGUGGAUAACCUACCUAUAAGACUGGGAUAACUUCGGGAAACCGGAGCUAAUACCGGAUAAUAUAUUGAACCGCAUGGUUCAAUAGUGAAAGACGGUUUUGCUGUCACUUAUAGAUGGAUCCGCGCCGCAUUAGCUAGUUGGUAAGGUAACGGCUUACCAAGGCAACGAUGCGUAGCCGACCUGAGAGGGUGAUCGGCCACACUGGAACUGAGACACGGUCCAGACUCCUACGGGAGGCAGCAGUAGGGAAUCUUCCGCAAUGGGCGAAAGCCUGACGGAGCAACGCCGCGUGAGUGAUGAAGGUCUUCGGAUCGUAAAACUCUGUUAUUAGGGAAGAACAAAUGUGUAAGUAACUAUGCACGUCUUGACGGUACCUAAUCAGAAAGCCACGGCUAACUACGU
Molecule: ribosomal RNA, 495 nt
Filed under: uncultured bacterium
Lineage: Bacteria
Description: partial 16S ribosomal RNA
Rfam family: Bacterial small subunit ribosomal RNA
Source: RNAcentral